GAUGAACGCUGGCGGCGUGCCUAAUACAUGCAAGUCGAGCGAACAGAUGAGGAGCUUGCUCCUCUGACGUUAGCGGCGGACGGGUGAGUAACACGUGGAUAACCUACCUAUAAGACUGGGAUAACUUCGGGAAACCGGAGCUAAUACCGGAUAAUAUAUUGAACCGCAUGGUUCAAUAGUGAAAGACGGUUUUGCUGUCACUUAUAGAUGGAUCCGCGCCGCAUUAGCUAGUUGGUAAGGUAACGGCUUACCAAGGCAACGAUGCGUAGCCGACCUGAGAGGGGGAUCGGCAACACUGGAACUGAGACACGGUCCAGACUCCUACGGGAGGCAGCAGUAGGGAAUCUUCCGCAAUGGGCGAAAGCCUGACGGAGCAACGCCGCGUGAGUGAUGAAGGUCUUCGGAUCGUAAAACUCUGUUAUUAGGGAAGAACAAAUGUGUAAGUAACUAUGCACGUCUUGACGGUACCUAAUCAGAAAGCCACGGCUAACUACGU
This 496-nucleotide ribosomal RNA is filed under the name uncultured bacterium. RNAcentral describes it as "partial 16S ribosomal RNA". It matches the Rfam family "Bacterial small subunit ribosomal RNA", at positions 28 to 506 of the family's 1533-position model. The record is from RNAcentral.